RNAcentral lists this ribosomal RNA (445 nucleotides) under uncultured bacterium. RNAcentral describes it as "bacterial SSU rRNA". It matches the Rfam family "Bacterial small subunit ribosomal RNA", at positions 8 to 452 of the family's 1533-position model. The record is from RNAcentral.
AGGGUUUGAUCCCUGGCUCAGAUUGAACGCUGGCGGCAUGCUUUACACAUGCAAGUCGAACGGCAGCACGGGUGCUUGCACCUGGUGGCGAGUGGCGGACGGGUGAGUAAUACAUCGGAACGUGUCCUGAAGUGGGGGAUAACGCAUCGAAAGAUGUGCUAAUACCGCAUAUACUCUAAGGAGGAAAGUAGGGGAUCGAAAGACCUUAUGCUUUUGGAGCGGCCGAUGUCUGAUUAGCUAGUUGGUAAGGUAAUGGCUUACCAAGGCGACGAUCAGUAGUUGGUCUGAGAGGACGGCCAGCCACACUGGGACUGAGACACGGCCCAGACUCCUACGGGAGGCAGCAGUGGGGAAUUUUGGACAAUGGGCGCAAGCCUGAUCCAGCAAUGCCGCGUGAGUGAAGAAGGCCUUCGGGUUGUAAAGCUCUUUCAGUCGAGAAGAAAAG